ACUGUGAUAGCUUAGCUGGUAGAGCUUCUGCCCGGCGUGCAGAGGGUCGCCGGCUCGAUUCCUGCUCACGGAG
RNAcentral lists this transfer RNA (73 nucleotides) under Fasciola hepatica (liver fluke). RNAcentral describes it as "tRNA-Ala". It matches the Rfam family "tRNA". From Rfam's summary of the family: Transfer RNA (tRNA) molecules are approximately 80 nucleotides in length. Their secondary structure includes four short double-helical elements and three loops (D, anti-codon, and T loops). Lineage: Eukaryota; Metazoa; Platyhelminthes; Trematoda; Plagiorchiida; Fasciolidae. The record is from RNAcentral.